This 421-nucleotide ribosomal RNA is filed under the name uncultured bacterium. RNAcentral's name for it is "bacterial SSU rRNA". It matches the Rfam family "Bacterial small subunit ribosomal RNA", at positions 356 to 774 of the family's 1533-position model. The record is from RNAcentral.
AAGGAAUAUUGGUCAAUGGGCGGAAGCCUGAACCAGCCAUGCCGCGUGCAGGAAGACGGCCCUACGGGUUGUAAACUGCUUUUGCACCAGAAUAAACCUUCAUAUGUAUAUGAGGCUGAAAGUAUGGUGAGAAUAAGGAUCGGCUAACUCCGUGCCAGCAGCCGCGGUAAUACGGAGGAUCCGAGCGUUAUCCGGAUUUAUUGGGUUUAAAGGGUGCGUAGGCGGCCUGUUAAGUCAGGGGUGAAAGACGGUAGCUUAACUAUCGCAGUGCCUUUGAUACUGACGGGCUUGAAUGUAGUUGAGGCAGGCGGAAUGUGACAAGUAGCGGUGAAAUGCAUAGAUAUGUCACAGAACACCAAUUGCGAAGGCAGCUUGCUAAAGUAAGAUUGACGCUGAGGCACGAAGGCGUGGGGAUCAAACA